UUGUGGAUCAGCCGACGUGUGCCAGCGCCAUGGAUGACAGCGACAGGGUAAACUAUGCCUGUGUAAGUAACCAUAGCAUGUGCUAUGAUGGCUAUGGCACACAGGAUCUUGGAUAUAUCUGCAGUUGCGAUGAUGGUUAUGGGGGCAAUCCAUAUAUACCCAAUGGCUGCUCACGUGAUAAAGGUAAAUCCAUGCAAUCAAUAAAUUAAAGGUUACUUUUCUACUACUCAAUCUAAAUAUUUUCUCAAUCUGACCAUAGUAGAGGGUUUAGGUCCACAUUUCAGUUAGAUAACCCAUGGUAAAAAGGAGAUACAAAUCUGAAAUGUCAGUGCUAAAGACAAAAAAGUAAUCCUAAAAAUAUGAUGUUUUCAGAUAGGUAGGCAUAUGGAUGUCUAGACUGCAUUUAUGCAAAUAACAUGCAUAUAUGUAGAGUGGCCAUGAAGGGUACUCCGUUUCAUGGCCAAUCUCGAUAUGCAGCUCUAUGUUUGCAUCAUCAUUAAAUGCCACUAGUAGACAAACUGACAUGCGGUUGAUCCCACCUUGUCCGUGACACUUUGAUGGAUUUUGCAAAUACUGAAUGUUAUACAGAUGAGAAAAUAGGAUUUUUGCCAGCCGAAACAGUGGGCUUCACAGAUUUGCCAUCCCAACCAUUGGUUUCGCAGAUAUGCCAGCCAAAACAUAUGCUUCUUUCACAUUUUCUCUAUUUCUCUCCUUUUUCCUUUUUAUCCUCGUCUGAGCCACUAGAAAGGACAAAUGUGCAGGAACAUCAACGUACCUAGUACCUGGAACUGAAUCGACAACCAUCGGCUAUUCUAUUCCUCUCAUCGCUGCCUUCGUCAAGAGUCGAGACGCUUCGUCUCCCGCUACUUGCCCAGAAGGUUGCCGACCUCCCAACCCCAUGGAGCCCACUGUUUCCGCUGGAAAAAUUCCAAUUUUUUUGAACUAAUGAAGAAUGAUGUUGUGUCCUUGUUUGUUAAAAGGGAAGUGUUACAUAUGGAACUAGUCCAAAAAACUGCAUAAAAUAUUCACAAACCUCUUAGGCAGAUGUAGCCAAGCACUCCAAAAGGCCUUGAGAUUUAUUGAAAUGGCUUGUAACGAUUAGAAGAUAUGCUAGCUGAUUUGAAUCUUAAAAACUGUUCUAAUCUCAAGGCAUGUCUUACAAGAUAUACUGGUUAAGCACCAGUCCAGAGUUCUUUUUCAUGAAUCCAACUCAAUGCAAUGUUCUUUGAAAUUAAUAGAAGCUUUCAUUGUCGAAGAAAAUAACUGCACACAUAGGUAAAAGAAUAUUGAUAAAAAAAAAACUUUGCAUGUACUCUACUUCGUCAGUCAGGUUGUGAGCGAGCUCUUCUAUAUGCUUUUGUAAGCUGAUAACCCCAGUAGGAUGUAUCAAACCUAUUUCCUUUCUACAAAAUCCAGAACAAUCCUUGAUAAAGAUGUACUUCUUCAGUCUUUCUGCCUACUUCAUCAGCCAUGAUGUUUGUGAGCAUCAUAUAGAUUAGUUGUAUUGCAUCACCAUGAUUGCUCAAAUGCCUAAACUUUCUUAGAUGCUGAAGAAUUUGAAUAUUCUCCAAACAUUGAUGACUUUUGAAUUUCUUUUGUCAAAAUUAGGAUACAAUCCAAUUGAACAAAAGGAGAACUGCCAGCGAUCAUGCGGUAACAUCAGUGUCCCAUUCCCUUUUGGCAUUGAAGAAGGUUGUUUUGCAAGAAAGCUAUUUCAGCUCAACUGCACAAAUGCAACGUCUUCCAGUCUCCAGUUUGAUGACAAACAUCUGGUGACAUAUAUAGAUAUCAAUGAGGGGCUUGUGGGCAUUAAGUACACCUUAAUUUACGAACAGGAGAUGUUUAGGGUGUAUGUAUCUAAGGAACCUGGACUCUACAUUAGUUCAGGGGAAUCGUCCUCUGUGCAAUGGGCUGUUGCCAAUCUGACCUGCCAGGAGGCAAUGCAGAACAAGUCGGGAUAUGCAUGUGUAAGCAUCAGUAGCACAUGUUUGGGUGUCAACUCAACAGAUGGUUACAUUGGUUAUCGAUGCCAAUGUCUGCACGGAUUUCAGGGGAAUCCAUACAUACACAAUGGCUGCCAAGGUCUCCCUCCCCCCCUCCCUCCUCUCCGCCUUACCCUUUUUGCAAUCCUACUGUUUGGUUGAAAACUGAUUGCAUUCUGGAGAGUACACACAUGAAACAAGCACGCACCACAAAUACAUUUGAUGCUUUUGAGAUCCUAACCACAUUGGUUCAACAAGGGAUUGCAUUUUGGAGAUUACUUAUAACUAAAACAGCAGUGGGUGAUUUGUUUGUCUAUUAAUUGUUGUAAUUGUAAGGCACCUCUUUCUACUCUGUUUCGUCUAAUAUAUAAGCACUAGGGGGUAACCCCUCCUGCCAUACCCCAAAAAAGAACAACUAAAACAGCAGGGAGCGAUAGAGAUACUCCAGUUCAGUUUCAGUUGUCAACAACAGAUACAUAUAUGUUUUCGAUCUAUGAAAUUUUAUGCUCUAAGUUGUAAUUCAGAUAUUUUCUAGUGGCUAGUUUUAUAUUGUUUAAAUGGAAACUAUGGUUUAUGCUGCAUAAAUUAACCAAUUCUGACAUCCAUACCUGAAAAAUACAUAACCCUUCUGAAGAGAUUAUAAUCAACACUCUCUGAUUACAAACCAGAACUUUGAAUCUUUUAGGCUCUCUACUGUCCAGAGAGCAGAGUGCUCCUCUGUAUUCUGAUUUUUGGCAGUGAACAACAAUGUCUGGAAACCAUAACAGGCUACACAUUUUUUUCAAAAACAUAACAGGCAACACAUAGAUAGCACUAACCAGAGUACCAGACUAAAGUCAAUAGACUGGUGACCAUAACUUUAAAUAUUAACAGGUGAUUAAUGUCUUUGCCACAUUAUGGUGUUCUCAUCUUGUUGCGUUACUGUUAGAAUGUAUGCGCGUAUAUAAGGGGCUGGGCCAGGUAUAGCCGGCUGGCCCUCUCUGUUUUGGUUAGAGAGAUAUGAGAUCUCGGUUUGGUCCUGUUUCUAUAAACCAUGAAAUCUCCUCAUCCCUAUAUAUAUGUACAUAGGUCUCUCAAUCAAUCUAAGCAUUAUUUCCACGCAAUCCCUAAUUCCCUAUUGCUUUCAGUUACUAGCUUUGAGUUAGGAUUUGCCUCAGCAUUUUAAAGACACAACUCUGUGAUAAAAACUGAAAUUCACUCGAUUACAGGUGAAAACAAAACUUUCCACAAAUCACAUUCUUGUAUAAAGAUGAUCUUAGUGCUCCAAUACGUGGGAUCUUCAAUAUCCUUCUUUGUUUUUCAAGAAUGAAAUCCAACAGUCAGAUUUUUCCAGAUUACAAUAUUGUUCUGGGAAUCUACCUAUAUCUGAUCUAAGCUCAGUUGGAAUAGAAAAUUCUAACUCUCUUCUACUCUCCAAUUAACAUGGACAUUUGCAGCUUUACCAAUUAAUGGAGCAAGUAUGAAAAAGCAAAAUCUUCUAUUAGGUGAGCUUUGUACAGUAGUAUUUGACAACUAACAAGGAGAAGAUAAAGCAGAACCAGACUAAGGAACAUAACUAUCGCAGGUAUUGUGAUUGGGCUUAGCAGUGGCUUCGGGAUUUUACUUCUCGGCUUAAGUGCAACAGUGCUUCUUCGCAAAUGGAAAAAGGACAUCCAAAAGCAACAACGAAAAAAAUAUUUUCAGAAAAAUAAAGGCCUUCUGUUGGAACAACUGAUAUCAUCCGAUGAAAAUGCAAGUGAAAAAACAAAGAUUUUCACUUUGGAAGACCUCGAAAAGGCAACAAACAAUUUUGAUCCGACACGGAUCCUUGGCCGUGGAGGGCAUGGCAUGGUGUAUAAGGGUAUCUUAUCUGACCAACGUGUGGUGGCAAUAAAAAGAUCUAAGGACACUGAGGAAAGUGAGAUCAGUCAAUUCAUUAAUGAGGUAGCAAUUCUCUCUCAAAUAAAUCAUCGAAAUAUAGUGAAGCUUUUUGGGUGUUGUCUUGAAACUGAGGUUCCCCUCUUGGUGUAUGACUUCAUUUCAAAUGGUUCAUUAUUCGAAAUUCUGCAUUCUAGUUCAAGCAGUGGUUUGUCUUUGUCAUGGGAUGACUGCCUAAGAAUUGCUGCAGAAGCUGCAGGAGCUCUCUAUUAUCUACACUCAGCAGCUUCAGUAUCAAUCUUCCAUCGAGAUGUGAAGUCCUCUAACAUACUCCUAGAUUCAAACUACACUGCAAAAGUUUCAGACUUUGGUGCUUCUAGAUCGGUUCCUAUUGACCAAACACAUGUUGUGACAAAUGUCCAAGGUACAUUUGGGUACUUAGACCCGGAGUAUUACCAUACUGGGCAGCUAAAUGAGAAGAGUGAUGUAUAUAGUUUCGGUGUUGUACUUGUGGAACUACUCCUGAGAAGGCAGCCUAUCCUUACAAGCGAUACAGGGUCAAAGCAGAACUUGUCUAAUUACUUUCUCUGGGAGCUGAAGACAAGGCCAAUAAAAGAGAUAGUGGCUACUCAGGUCUGGGAGGAAGCAACUGAGGAAGAGAUUAACAGCAUUGCAUCUCUUGCGAAGAUGUGUUUGAGACUCAACAGUGGGGAGAGACCUACCAUGAAGCAAAUCGAGAUGAACUUGCAGUUCUUGAGAACAAAAAGGUCAGAGUCAUGCCGUGUUGAUCAAGAUAAUGCUGAAGAGAUACAACCAUUGCUUUGUACAAGAGCUGAAUCUAGAUAUGAGACGUUUUCCAUUAGCUUGGGUGGAAGUUCUAAUUCAGAUUCUCAGUACAGCCAAAGAAUCAAUAGCUUGGAGCAUGAUUUUGAACCAUCUCUUGGGGUGCCACGCUAAGGGCCUCUUUGAAGUGUCAGAAUCCCACCAGAGCAUCAAGAGGACAAGAAGUUUUUAUGGGGUGGAUAUCUGCAAGUCCUACCAAAAAUACUGUGUUGAGCAUGAACAUCUUAAGGUCAUCCAUAUUUCUAUCUGCGGAAGAUGAUGAACUGUCCUUUACUCUCUUGUUUUCUACAUUAUCAUACAUAAGUAUGUUGUACUUAUUUCCCUGCAAAUUGGACUUACUCUUAUCUAUUGUUUUGUACCUUGAUUCUCUUAUCUAUUGUUUGUACUUGGAUCCUUGCGGUCCAUACUCCAUACAAUGAUACAAUGGAUAUACAUGUUUAAAUUUUUAUAUCAUCUUGGAUAAAUUAAGUUAUUUAUGUAUAGUGUAUUUAGGUACAAAAAUUCAUAGAACAGAACAAACACAACAUUUGUUUCUCCUCUGUUUUUCAGAUUCCUCAUGAAACAAUGUCUCUUGGAAAAUUGACAACAUGCCAGCAUUUUUACUGGGCACUAGAUUUCUGUAGCCCAUGAAAAGUUCCCCCAAGCAGGAGACUAUACAUGUUCUAUGCUAUUAAUUUGUUAUCGCCGUUCUUGUUAAAAAAAAUAUAUAUGUUAUCAGUUAUCACCCUUCACCCAUGAUGCACAUUUGUAACCACAUUUUCUACACCAUGAUACAUCAUUAUUAUCCUAUUUGAGGCAGAGAAUCAGGGAUGAUCAUACCUAUACCCGAGCCAUGAAGAGAAGGAAAGGCGCAUGCCCAAGGGCCAUGGCCACAUCACACCAUACAGAUGCAGAUUAGCAGAUGCAACCCGUGGACGAUGGUGGCGUUCAGUCACCUCCCCGCAUGACUGAAGAGUUUAAUCUGCAACUUCGCCACCAGAGAGCGACAAACCAACACAUAUUCGUUCUAAGAAAACGACGCACUCUCGAAGACGACCUACCGACCAAAAUGGGGAGCAGCUCGGCAGGGGGCAGCGGCCUGCACUGUGCCGGCGGCGGGCGUGGAGA
This 5789-nucleotide long non-coding RNA is filed under the name Sorghum bicolor (sorghum). RNAcentral describes it as "long non-coding RNA (SBIC_LNC013562)". Lineage: Eukaryota; Viridiplantae; Streptophyta; Magnoliopsida; Poales; Poaceae. The record is from RNAcentral.